AAAAUGUGGCUAAAAUUUCGCUUCAAGUUUUUUUUUUUUGACAUUUUUAUCGUUUAAUGUUUUUCCUCUUUCUUCAACGGUGACUGCAACCGAUCCAACUGCUUCAACGUUUCAUUUUUCUCGCAAAACCAAAAUGGCCUCAGUAAUGUUCGCACAAUCAGCAAUAACAAGAGGCAGAGAUGAAGUAUAUGUAGUAGCUGUUCCUCUAAGGGCCACAAAAGGACCAGCCCAGUUGCUUAUGUAUGCUGCCUACUCUCUCAAUCUCUGGGAUUUGCAGCAUUUUAUGGUUCUCAUCAAACCCUCCUUGCCACUUCCUUCUUCUCAGGCCUUGGUUUUUGACUUCCAACCUCAAGAUCCUGAAAAUAUAUAUGUGGCUCUUGAUGUUAUAUCCGGUAGAGCAGUACCAGGAGUUAUUCUUAUGAGAAAGUUGAAAAAUCUACCAAGAAGGAAAUGCUGGUAUGUUGGAUCUUUGCCAGUGGAUGCGGUAGAUAUGGCAUGUAAUUUCAAUAAAAGCUGGGAAACUGAUUUGAGGGUCGGUCAACAUGACUGUCGAGAUUAUACCAAUGGAUUGGUCGAGUACCUCACUGGCCAAAAAGAUGUUUUGGAGUGCUUGAGAAGCAGCUAGCACUGGUGGUCUGGGGUAACCAAUCAACUCGUGAGGCUAUUUUACAACAGACAAUGUUCUAUCAUUUUCUUCAAGGGUGUAUACCGAUCAAAUGAUAUACCAUGUUCUUUCACAAGGGAAAAAAAAAGUCCCGCGCAUUGCAGUAAGAACGCAAACUCACAGGGAAAGAAGCAUCUACUUCUCCUUUUUAGAAUUUCAAGCAUCAACGGAGGUGUCAAUCCAGUAAAGGUUACCCACAUGUACAACUGCUCGAAACCACUUCGGUAUUUUCUGAAACAUAACGUCUUUAUUUUCCACUUAUUGCAUCAUAUGAGAUCAGAGAUCUGCUUUUGCACUCCCACAAGAUCUCACCGCCGGUCUUCAAGAGGCAUAAAACUCGAAUUAACAAACCUUCUUUUCGAAGUGAUCUUCAAAAUCUCAAAAUAUUGGUCCUCAUCCUUUUCAAGUCCAAUAGGCACGUAGUUUCCUAUACAGAAUUUCUUGUUCCAAGACUCACCCACACCAUACUUUUUCAGCACCCAUAUCUCUAGUAUCUCGUAGUUGCAAUAAACUGCAGCAGAAAGACAACUUCCUAUUAUAACCACCUAAUGAUAUCUAUGCAUGUUUAAAGCAAUGCGUACAAUCAAGUGUUGGACCUCUUGAAAUUGGUCGUCUGCUAAGUCAAACGAGAUGAUGCUGCACCUUGGGCUGUAUCUACGUGGUCGAGUGACCCAAUGAAGUCUUCCAUUAAUUAAGGGUACUUGUGAUGGCGGGUAAAGAUGCAUGUUAGUCUACCUUUCCCUUACUUCUCCAGGUUGAGCCCCCAAGGGUGAAAUUUUGAACCUCUCAAUUCAUAUUAGUGAGUCUAAACCCACGUUGGUAGUCUCCGUCUGCAUUCUUAUAAUACACUAUCUUAAUCUUGUAUUCCUUGGUUGUGGCAUGAAACCCGAAUCCAAAAACCAGCUCUUGAUUCAAAGACUGUAUGGAUUUAGGGAGCACUUGAUAAUUCCAGGAGAAGGUAUUGUAUGUAGAGUGCAUCACUACACAAUGGAUCAGAUAAGCUGAGCAAACCGUUACAUGAGCCUACAACAUCAAACUCAGGCAUCGUAACCGAGAAAGGCACAUGAAGCUUUUUCACCUUUUCCUUCUUGUCGAUGCAAGCAGGGAGCUCUACAAAGUAAAGCUGGUUUCUGAUUAGAUAAUCACAGUGGAAGAUGAGGCAUGGAUUGCUCUCACGCAUGCGUGUGCUGUGCAUAUUAACAAGAUCAGGAUUUUGUAAUAACAUGCGCCAACCUUUGCAUAUAGACUUGAAUUGUACUAAAAACGAAACAGGAAGCCCUGAAACUAUAUUCAGGAUGAGUUCGGGUGGGAGACUUUCCAUUCCGGCUGUUGGUGGUUCCCUUCUAGCUUGCUUCUCUUUCUUUCAAGGUCUCUUUCCAAGUCCGAGUCCAUGACAAUGUGAAGGUUUACAAUACAAAGGAAAAACAAGAGCAAAGAUCCCGAGGGAAGACAGCACCCAAAAAAGUCUGCAGUAAAAUGGCAUGAUAAGAGUUAAUAUUCGAAGAGGAGGAAACCACAAGCAAAGUAUGUAAGAGCCAAAGCUGAAAUAUUUUAUUGGAAAAAGGUUGGUGUUUGCCAUCAUUACAGUGAAAAUGAAACAAAGUUCUUUGUCAAUGAAUUGGUGGCCUUAUUGACAAUGACCCACCCGUAAUCUCAAGAGUCAAAAGUGGCGUUUGUACUCUGGUGUGGCAUCUUUCCUUGUAUAUUAUUCCGUCACAGAAAAAAAGUAUUACCUCAUAUUCACCACUUUUUAGGGGUUUAUGUAACUUUAUAGUCAGUUUCGUAUUUUGGUAUCACUGAGAAUGUUAUUGUCAUGAAACUUGAGGCUGGCUCUAGGGAUCAUUUUUCUCCAAGUUUUUUAAUAGGCAUUCUCCCAAUAGAAACGUGAAUGCCUCUUGGACCCGCUUGGGAUCACUGAGAAUCUGAGAUCAAUCGACCCUGGAAGGCUGAUCACGACAUACCUGAGAUUGCUAAAAAGUUAUUCUGCACACACAAGGGUGCAGCUCUGCUUGAAGGGAGUCUUUCCUAAACAAAAGGGUCCAGCGGUUCAUAAGACUAGCCUCGGGUUAACACGUUGGUUCUCAUGAGACGUAGGGCACGAUGGACGUCUCAAUUUCCCUAAGGAUAAAAAUCUCUUCAACAGAAGUGUACCCUUUUGGUAAAAGAUGCAAGGAGCGAAACGACGUUCACCAAGCUCCAUGGAAUUGCAAAGUUUCCUUGUAGCUCAUGUUCUCGAACCAUUCACUUAAUUGGGUAUAAAGAAGUUGACGAUUUGUAUAAAGAUUGUCCUAAAUUGAAUGGCUGAAUAUUCUCAAGCCAGAACAACAGGAGCAUUGUUUGAUCGGUCACUUCGGUGGAUCAAAGAAAAAUUAAGGCAUUUUCGUUUAUGAUUGACUGAU
Molecule: RNA transcript, 3063 nt
Organism: Carya illinoinensis
Lineage: Eukaryota; Viridiplantae; Streptophyta; Magnoliopsida; Fagales; Juglandaceae
Exons: 5
Source: RefSeq, a predicted model, not a curated record